RNAcentral lists this ribosomal RNA (292 nucleotides) under uncultured bacterium. RNAcentral's name for it is "partial 16S ribosomal RNA". It matches the Rfam family "Bacterial small subunit ribosomal RNA", at positions 505 to 796 of the family's 1533-position model. The record is from RNAcentral.
GUGCCAGCAGCCGCGGUAAUACGGAGGGUGCAAGCGUUAUCCGGAUUCACUGGGUUUAAAGGGUGUGUAGGCGGAUAUUUAAGUCAGUGGUGAAAUCUCCAGGCUCAACCUGGAAACUGCCAUUGAUACUAUUUAUCUUGAAUUCUGUUGAGGUGGGCGGAAUACAUCAUGUAGCGGUGAAAUGCUUAGAUAUGAUGUAGAACACCGAUUGCGAAGGCAGCUCACUAAACAGCGAUUGACGCUGAGGCACGAAAGCGUGGGGAUCAAACAGGAUUAGAUACCCUAGUAGUCC